RNAcentral lists this ribosomal RNA (492 nucleotides) under uncultured bacterium. RNAcentral's name for it is "partial 16S ribosomal RNA". It matches the Rfam family "Bacterial small subunit ribosomal RNA", at positions 29 to 507 of the family's 1533-position model. The record is from RNAcentral.
AGUGAACGCUGGCGGUAGGCCUAACACAUGCAAGUCGAACGGCAGCACAGUAAGAGCUUGCUCUUACGGGUGGCGAGUGGCGGACGGGUGAGGAAUACAUCGGAAUCUACUUUUUCGUGGGGGAUAACGUAGGGAAACUUACGCUAAUACCGCAUACGACCUACGGGUGAAAGCAGGGGAUCUUCGGACCUUGCGCGAUUGAAUGAGCCGAUGUCGGAUUAGCUAGUUGGCGGGGUAAAGGCCCACCAAGGCGACGAUCCGUAGCUGGUCUGAGAGGAUGAUCGGCCACACUGGAACUGAGACACGGUCCAGACUCCUACGGGAGGCAGCAGUGGGGAAUAUUGGACAAAGGGCGCAAGCCUGAUCCAGCCAUACCGCGUGGGUGAAGAAGGCCUUCGGGUUGUAAAGCCCUUUUGUUGGGAAAGAAAAGCAGCAGGUUAAUACCCCGCUGUUCUGACGGUACCCAAUGAAUAAGCACCGGCUAACUUCGUG